Molecule: unclassified non-coding RNA, 420 nt
Filed under: Zea mays
Lineage: Eukaryota; Viridiplantae; Streptophyta; Magnoliopsida; Poales; Poaceae
Description: misc RNA Zm00001eb298630
Source: RNAcentral
CCGGAACGGCGCCGGCUGCUGCUGGAUUCAGAGACUUCAGAGAGAACGGAAUCUGGGAGAUUCAGAGGGAAUGACCAUCGCAAAUUCGAGAUUCAGAGGAAGAACGGCGCUGGCUGCUGCUCGAUUCGGAGACUUCAGAGAGAACGGAAUCUGGGAGAUUUAGAGGGAACGACCAUCGCAAAUUCGAGAUUGAGAGAGAACGAACUCUGGGAGAUUUGUUACCUGGACGGCGGCGAAGACCACUGGCUGCCGGCGUCCGAGGAGGAGGAAGGACUGGGUGGCGGCGCGGCACUGGCGUCCGAGGAGGAGGAAGGCUCGAGCGGCGCCGAUUCAGGAGAUCUUUCAGCGGAACCGCACGACUCGGGCGAUUGAUUCCGGCUAGGGUUGGAGGGUUUGAGUUUUCUAUACGGUGGUAUCCCA